AUGGAGGGGACAGAAGGCGAAGGAGGUGGAGGAUACCGGCUUCAAGCUGUGGUACACGAGGACGGUUGCAAACAAAAAUGGCGUAGGCAUCUUGAUCAACAAGAGCCUCAAGUAUGGAGUGGUAGACGUGGGGACCGGAUUAUCCUGGUCAAGCUGGUAGUUGGGGACUUAGUUCUCAAUGUUAUCAGCGCGUAUGCCCCGCAAGUAGGCCACAAUGAGAACACCAAGAGGGAGUACUGGGAGGCCUGGAGGACAUGGUUAGAAGUGUACGAUUGGCGAGAAGCUCUUCAUAGGAGGAGACCUCAAUGGCCACGUGGGUACAUCUAA
Molecule: ribosomal RNA, 327 nt
Filed under: Triticum aestivum (bread wheat)
Lineage: Eukaryota; Viridiplantae; Streptophyta; Magnoliopsida; Poales; Poaceae
Description: partial small subunit ribosomal RNA
Source: RNAcentral